GACGAACGCUGGCGGCGUGCUUAACACAUGCAAGUCGAACGGAAAGGCCCUGCUUUUGUGGGGUGCUCGAGUGGCGAACGGGUGAGUAACACGUGAGUAACCUGCCCUUGACUUUGGGAUAACUUCAGGAAACUGGGGCUAAUACCGGAUAUGAUCUCCUGCUGCAUGGUGGUGGUUGGAAAGUUUCGGCGGUUGGAGAUGGACUCGCGGCUUAUCAGCUUGUUGGUGGGGUAGUGGCUUACCAAGGCUUUGACGGGUAGCCGGCCUGAGAGGGUGAACGGCCACAUUGGGACUGAGAUACGGACCAGACUCCUACGGGAGGCAGCAGUGGGGAAUAUUGCACAAUGGGCGGAAGCCUGAUGCAGAAACGCCGCGUGCGGGAUGACGGCCUUCGGGUUGUAAACCGCUUUCGCCUGUGACGAAGCGUGAGUGACGGUAAUGGGUAAAGAAGCACCGGCUAACUACGUG
RNAcentral lists this ribosomal RNA (468 nucleotides) under uncultured bacterium. RNAcentral describes it as "partial 16S ribosomal RNA". It matches the Rfam family "Bacterial small subunit ribosomal RNA", at positions 28 to 507 of the family's 1533-position model. The record is from RNAcentral.